AAUGGGCUGGGAAUGUGUGGGCCGGAGUCUGCUCGGGUGCUCCAGUCCACAGUGGGUUUUCAUCCAUCCGCGAUCCAACUAGUAAACGUUAGCAUUGCCGAUCUGACAAUCGCGUGGUAUACUCGUGCUCGGAUCAUUUAUUGCCCACAUUAUUAUAAUUACGUCGUAACCAUCAUAAUUACACUUAACAUCAUUAAAUAUUUCCAUCGUUCGGACUGUUUCUUCAUUCACAAUGUUAUUGGCACCUUUCAGUGAUUCGAGUGCUCAAUAACUGCCGCCCAGUGUUUGUUUACAUUUUGUGAACGAGUGACAAUUUUUUGUUGUAGUUUUAUUUGUGUAUGAGGACGCAUCCCUCUCUCCGAGGGAUCAUAUAGAAUCAGUCAAAAUUAACGCGGCAAUCAUGAACUCUUAUUUCGAGCAGAGUGGCUUCUACGGAGGCCACCAUCAUCAGAGCACCGGCUCAGUAACGGGCGCUCAUCAUCAUGAUCCUGCUGCAGCAGCGGCAGCCUACAGAUCGUUUCCACUGAGUUUAGGAAUGUCUCCUUAUGCCUCCAGUCAGCAUCAUCAUGCUGCCCACAGUCUGCAUCAAGCAAGACCGCCACAAGAUUCACCGUAUGACGCUUCAGUAGCUGCCACUUGCAAACUAUAUUCCUCCACAGAUGGACAACAAAAUAGCUACAGUAAUGCGGUGACCAAAUCAGACUGUUCGAAAGGCAAUGCAGAUCAGAACGGUUAUGCCGCUGUGGUGGCCGCCUCAGAAGCAGUGAAAAAUGCAUGGCAAAAUGCUACCUCUGGAGCUGGAGCAAACCUAGCUAACAGCCUCUCAGGACCAGUCCGUCCUUCAGCCUGUACUCCCGACUCCCGAGUCGGAUACGGAUCAUCCGGUUUGAUCGGAGGAGAUCCUUCUACAAGUCCGGGAGCCGCUUCAGGCACGAGAACAUCAAACUCUCUCUCGUCGUGGAAUAAUCCUUGUUCCUUGAAUACUCCCUCAGCGCAACCGGUGGGCACCCAUCAGCAGGCGAACCACACGUUCUACCCUUGGAUGGCAAUAGCAGGAUAUUACAAAGGUGCAAACGGUUUGAGAAGGCGUGGCCGUCAAACGUACACCCGGUACCAGACGCUCGAGCUAGAGAAAGAAUUUCACACGAACCAUUAUCUGACCAGGCGGCGGAGGAUAGAAAUGGCGCACGCGCUUUGCCUAACAGAACGACAAAUCAAAAUAUGGUUCCAAAAUAGGCGGAUGAAACUUAAAAAGGAAAUACAGGCCAUAAAAGAAUUAAACGAACAAGAAAAACAGGCGCAAGCACAGAAAGCAGCAGCGGCGGCGGCAGCGGCAGCAGCACAACCAAUGGAUCAAAAUUAGUUAGUUCCCCCCAUUUUCCCCACCGGUGAUAAUGAAAGGAUGUGGCUGAGUUCAUUUACUUAACAGAUCUACUGAAUUCGAGCCAAUGACUUGCCAGAUAUCCUAUUUGAAACUGCCGCUUGUCGCCACAAAAAGCAGAAACGCAAAUACGUAAUAACUUCGGAAAACAACAAGUAAAACUGUGAAAAAGUGUAUACUAUUUAGGUUAUAAAUACUCUGGUAAACGUAAUAAAUAGUGUAUAAAUCUACAUAUUUAUAAUCUACAUUGUAAGUUUACUAUACCGAAAGGAUAUUUUUGAACACAUUUUUCUAUUCGCAAAACAGUUGGAAAAUUCCUGUCUCCUUACUUGGUGCAAUCUUCUACAUAGUAGGGAUACUCGACUGAAAAUCGUAGUCUUUUCUCCUAAUUCCUUAAGAUUUGAGAAGGGCAAAACAGCAAUAUAGGUGAUUUAAAUUUUCAAUUCAAUGUGCUCGUUGUAGCUGGUUUCAGUAAAACCAAAUUACGAUGACCAAGAUGAGAUUAGAAGUUUUUAAUGCGCCGCAGUUUUUGCCACAAUAGUUUAUUUUCAGUUGCUCGAUUGCCCUUUCAAUUCUUGUCCUUUGAAACUUAGUACAUGCAACUAUUUAACUUAAAAAAUUAAAAAUAUCCCAUUUUAAAUACGUUCCUAAAUACAGACAAGUAAUUGCCAUGCUUUGUAUAAAGCAUUAGAUUUUAUGAGAUUUUGCUUUUAUGAAAAAAUUAGUUCCGAUUAACCAAACCUCAGGAGGUUUUAGUGCAGGUGUACAGGUAUUAAUUGUUAAUUAUUGUCACUAAUAUUUUACAUACUUAACUGAGUCAUGUCAUAAACUCGCUUAACUUCAUUAUCAUUGCCAAAAAAAUACAUACAUCAUAAAAAAUAUUUUGUAGGGCAAUCGAGUUUUAGACAAAUCUGAGAAUAAGAUUUUGCUCAAACCUAAAGGAAAACUGUCACACCCAAUUAUAAUAUUGAGACUGCAUGGAAUUUAGUUCUUGACUGAUAUUCUCUGAUUCAUUAAAAUAUAGUGUUCAUUGACUACUUACGGUUAUGGUUAAUGAAGAGGAAGAAAAAAGAAAUAGCGAUAAAAUAUUCCAAUGGCAGUUGAUGUUGCUCUUCUCUUCUUAUCACCUUGAGGAGGAGCUAACAAUACAACAUUUUGAUUAGGAGUAUCUUCGAUGUAAACAAUUGUAGGAUUUAGGGUUUAAAGCAUCGAUUCACAAACGGCCAAACCGGGACUAAUGGAAGUAGAAGCAAUUUUUCGCUCACUAGGUAAAAUUCUAUUCAUUUAUAUUUUGUGAAAAGGCACGCCACAUAUGUGCAAUAUACGUUAUAAUCAUCUUUUAAAGGAUAUGACUCUAUGUAAUAUUCUUAGCGUACCACUAAAUAGAAUAGUAGUAAAAGUUGUACUAUAAUUAGAUUCAUGUUUUGAUUUGUUACUGGUAGCAUAUUCCAAUCUAAGCAUGUAAGAGAGCACUCAUUCAUUCUUAAACAAAGUAAUUUAUUAUUAUUUUAUUUAGGGUUAAAUUUGGAUUGAGUUAUUUAUACAAUUUUGUCAGUUAAAUACAAAUUUAGCAAAUUGCUCUUGGAAAAACGAGAUUAUUUUAAUCGAUAUAUAUUACUUAAAAUCCUAAAUGUUAUAUGAAUUAGUAAAAAUUGAUUUUCGUUUAAUUGAUAUGCAGUUUGGCACAAAAAUUGGAAUUAAACUUAUAAUUGUCUAUAACUAAUAUGUAAGUGUUUAAAUUAUAAAAAUCUUGCCACAGUUCUAGCUUUGAAAAGUGUCAUUUUUGUAAAUGAAACUGUAAAUAGAAUUACCAUUAUAAGAAAACCUCUUGGUAUGAAUUUAAAAGGCACGUUGUGCGUAAAGAAUGUACCUAAAUUUUUGAGCUUAAUUUUAAAUAAAUUACUUGGGAAAGGUCGAUUUGUAGUAUGCGGUUCUAAACGGUGUACAUUGACAAUAUUUCCUAAGAGACUUGGUUGGGUGUAUUAUCUAAUCGAACUUUUCAGCAAGUGUAGUAUUAUUUUAUACCUUUUAGUUUAAAGUUUUAAAUAAUUUGCUACUUAUUGUUAAUAACGAGAGUACAACAGUUGUAUACGUUAAUAUUGUACUAUAAACUAAGGUAAAAUAAGUUGGAUGAACGGGGAAAAUUAAACAGAUCUUUGUUUUUUAGUGUAUUUUGACCCCGAUUGUCUUCGUAGUUAAAAGGUGACGUUUCUUAAACUGUGCAAUCAAAUGUGCGACAUGCAAAAAAUAUUUAUUGUCAUUCCUAAAAGGGAAAAAUUCUCUUAGAUGUUUCGAUUUUACCUCACAUUCUCAACGCAAAAUUAUGUUAUUACGUUUAUGGUUAUGGAUGAAAUUACAUUUAAAAGUAUGUAGAUUGAAAACCUGUUUUUAGAAAAUAUAUAUUCCAUGGGAAUUUAGAAUACUUAUAUACGAUAUACGUAAAGAAAAAAACUUGUAAAUAUGCUGUAAAAUUAAUAAUAGACUAAGGAUAAAAUGUAUACUGUUUAUCUAGAUAUUAUAUUAUUUGUUUUUGGUUUUGUUUUGUUGCUUAUUUGUUGCUCAAUUUCUUUAUUUUUCAUCUCUAUGUAAUAUAUGCUCUCUGUCUCUAUCUGUCGUCUGUGUGUGACUGUAAUUUAUUUUAAUAAAAGUCAUGUUCUAAAA
Dendroctonus ponderosae (mountain pine beetle) is the source of this 4042-nucleotide RNA transcript. It is a transcript of the gene named homeotic protein ultrabithorax, with no coding region annotated. The transcript has 5 exons. The record is from RefSeq and is a predicted model, not a curated record. NCBI's taxonomy places the organism in Eukaryota, Metazoa, Arthropoda, Insecta, Coleoptera, Curculionidae.